UUCUAUACUUUAUCCCUUUUUGUAUGGCUUUCAUCCUUACUAUUACAUUUUAUCUAUAACAUUUCAAUUUUUCUUUAAGUAUUAGUAUUAUAUUAAAAUUGUGUGUAUUGUGCAACUAAAAUUUACAAAGAAGAAAGCCUUAUAUACCAUUAAAUAUUUUAUAUAGCAUAAUAAAAAGAAUAACUUAACUGGUAGGAAUAACAAAAAUAAUACACCCUCUGAAAAUAAGUAAAAUAUAAAAUGCAUAAAUUGGUUAAAAAACAGUGUAACUAUAUAAAUAUGUCCUCACAAUUUGUUACAUCUUAUUGAUUCUUCAAUAUAGGCAUUACACCAUUCUAGGUGAUGUGAUAAACAAGACAUUAUAGAGCUUACAUGGUACCAUGGAGAGAAAUGGUUAUUAAUAGUACAAUUGUAGAACUGUAUUAUUUAAUUGUACAGUUGCAUUAUUUAAUUAUAAUUAUCAUAAAUUCAUUGAUGGAGAGGAAAUCAGAAUCAGAUGUAAGAAGACUUCAGCAUUCCAAGAAUGAUGUCGAAUGACCCCCUUCAUGGUGGAUUAUGCCCUUAUUUACGAUGAAAUAUUCUUCAGAGAUUCCUUGUUUGUGUAUCAAUUGUAUUUUUGGUUUGCAGUUAUUCUGAAGUUUUGAUAUAAGAGUCUAUACGUAUAUGAGAUGGUUUUAAGUUGUUGUUCUCUUAAUUGCAAGUUCAUCUCCAGUGCCCUGCAUUUGUACCCACCUCUUCUCAUGAUUUCUGAUGUUGGUGGUAUAAUUGUGCAUGGAUGAUUUCGUAUCUUUACUGUGUAUAUACCUUUACUGGUGAGCCUUGUCAUUUGUGUUAUUUUUGUUUCCUGUUGCUGUGUUUUCUUUUCUGCCUAGAGAAGAUCCUUUAGUAUUUGUUGUAAGGCUGGUUUAGCGUUGCUGAAUUCCCUCAGUUUUUGCUUAUCUGUGAAGGUUUUGCUUUCUCCUUCAAAUCUGAAUGAGAGCCUUGCUGGGUAAAGGAAUCUUGGUUGGAGGUUUUUUCCUUUCAUCAUGUUGAGUAUAUCAUGCCACUCCCUUGUGGCCUGCAGAGUUUCUGCUGAAAAAUCUGCCGAUAACCUUAUUGGGGAUCCCUUGUAUGUUACUUGUUUCUUUUCCCUAGCUGCUUUCAAGAUUUUGUCUUUGUCUUUAAUUUUGGUCAGUUUGAUUAAUGUGUGUCUUGGGGUAUUCCUCCUUGGGUUUAUUUUAUGUGGUACUCGUUGUGCUUGCUGGAUUUGAGUGAGUGGUUCCUUUCCCAUGUGAGGCAAGUUUUUGGCUGUUAUCUCUUGGAAUAUUUUUUCUGUCUCCUCCUCUCUCUCUUCUUCUGGCACCCCUGUAAUACAGAUGUUGGUGCGUUUCACAUUGUCCCAGAGUUCUCUGAGACUCUCUUCAUUUGUUCUCAAUGUUUUUUCUCUUUUCUGUUCCGCAUCCGUAAUUUCCACGAAUCUGUCCUCCACCUCACUUAUUGGUUGUUGUGCCACCUGUCUUCUGCUGUUAGCUGCUUCUAGUGAGUUUUUUAUUUCAGUUAUUGUAUUUUGCAUCUCUUCUUGGUUAAGUUUUAUAUCUUGUAUCUCUUUGGUCAGUGUUUCCUGUAAGUUAUCCAUCUUUGCCUCCAGUUUAUGUCCAAUGUCUUGCAUCACCUUCAGCAUCAACAGUCUAAAGCCUUUUUCCUGGAGGCUGAGAAUCUCCUCAUCACUUAGCUGUUUUUCUGGGGUUUUUCCUUUCUCCCUCAGCUGAGUUAUAGUUCUCUGUCUUUUCAUGUGUAUAGGUUUUUGGUGUGGUGACCUUUUUAUGGAUAAUAGAGCUGUAGCCUCUCUUACUUUGGGUGUCUGCCCCCUUGUGGCUGAAGUGGGUAUGUGGGGCUUGCUGUAGGCUUCCUGAUGGGAGGGGCUGAUGCCUGCCCCCUGGUGGGUGGAGCCGAUUCUAAUCCCUCUGUUGGGUGGGGCUUAGUCUCUGGAUGGGAUUAGAGGCAUCUGUGUGCCUGGGGGUUCUUUAGGCAGCCUGUUUCCUGAGGGGCGGGGCUGUGAUCCCACCUGGGUUGUUGUUUGCCCUGGGGCUUCUCAGCAUCUGACUGAAGGGUGGGGCCACCUCCAGAGAAAGGUACAGCUGCUGAAUAUUCCAGAGAGCUUUGCCUUCAAUGUCCUUCCCUCACACCAAGCCACAUUCACCCCUGUUUUCCCAGGAUGACCUCCAAGAACUGCAGUCAGGUUUGACCUAGGUUCCUGUGGAGACUUUUCUUUGCCCUGGGACCCAGUGCACGUGAAAGUCUGUGUGGGCCUUUUAAGAGUGGGGUCUUCGUUCCCCCAGUGCUGUGGUGCUCCUGCGCACAAGCCCCACCGGCCUUCAUGCCAGAUGCUCCAGGGGCUCUUUCUCCCAGUGCCGGAUCCCAGCAUGUGAGGGUUUGAUGUGGGGCUCUCACUCCUGUAGGUGAGUCUCUGUGAACCAGUUAGUUUUCAGUCUGUGGGGCUUCCCACCCGGGAGGUAUGGGGUUGUUUGUAUGGUGAAAUCGCCCCUCCUACCUCUUGAUGUGGCCUCCUCUUUUUCUUCUGGAGUAGGGUAUCUUUUGUAAGAUUUCCAGUCCAUUUGGGUGGAGAUUGCUCAGCGUUUAGUUGUGAAUUUUGUUGUUUUUAGGAGAGAAGUUGAACUCCAGUCCUUCUAUUCCACCAUCUUA
RNAcentral lists this long non-coding RNA (2682 nucleotides) under Sus scrofa (pig). Its description in RNAcentral is "lncRNA (ENSSSCG00065056638.1)". The record is from RNAcentral. Lineage: Eukaryota; Metazoa; Chordata; Mammalia; Artiodactyla; Suidae.